This 558-nucleotide ribosomal RNA is filed under the name uncultured Trichoderma. RNAcentral's name for it is "eukaryotic LSU rRNA". The stretch from base 193 to 346 matches the Rfam family "5.8S ribosomal RNA". Lineage: Eukaryota; Fungi; Ascomycota; Sordariomycetes; Hypocreales; Hypocreaceae. The record is from RNAcentral.
GAUCAUUACCGAGUUACAACUCCCAAACCCAAUGUGAACCAUACCAAACUGUUGCCUCGGCGGGGUCACGCCCCGGGCGCGUCGCAGCCCCGGAACCAGGCGCCCGCCGGAGGGACCAACCAAACUCUUUUCUGUAGUCCCCUCGCGGACGUUAUUUCUUACAGCUCUGAGCAAAAAUUCAAAAUGAAUCAAAACUUUCAACAACGGAUCUCUUGGUUCUGGCAUCGAUGAAGAACGCAGCGAAAUGCGAUAAGUAAUGUGAAUUGCAGAAUUCAGUGAAUCAUCGAAUCUUUGAACGCACAUUGCGCCCGCCAGUAUUCUGGCGGGCAUGCCUGUCCGAGCGUCAUUUCAACCCUCGAACCCCUCCGGGGGGUCGGCGUUGGGGACCUCGGGAGCCCCUAAGACGGGAUCCCGGCCCCGAAAUACAGUGGCGGUCUCGCCGCAGCCUCUCCUGCGCAGUAGUUUGCACAACUCGCACCGGGAGCGCGGCGCGUCCACGUCCGUAAAACACCCAACUUCUGAAAUGUUGACCUCGGAUCAGGUAGGAAUACCCGCUGA